Molecule: small RNA, 125 nt
Filed under: Marmota monax (woodchuck)
Lineage: Eukaryota; Metazoa; Chordata; Mammalia; Rodentia; Sciuridae
Source: RNAcentral
GCUGGAUGUGGUGGUGCACACCUAUAAUCCCAGUGGCUUGGGAGGCUGAGGCAGGAGGAUCACGAGUUCAAAGCCAGCCUCAGAAACUGUGAGGUGCUAAGCAACUCAGUGAGACCCUGUGUCUA